Molecule: ribosomal RNA, 427 nt
Filed under: uncultured bacterium
Lineage: Bacteria
Description: bacterial SSU rRNA
Rfam family: Bacterial small subunit ribosomal RNA
Source: RNAcentral
UGGGGAAUUUUGGACAAUGGGCGCAAGCCUGAUCCAGCCAUGCCGCGUGAGUGAAGAAGGCCCUCGGGUUGUAAAGCUCUUUUGUCCGGAAAGAAAAGCAUUCGGUGAAUACCCGGAUGUUCUGACGGUACCGGAAGAAUAAGCACCGGCUAACUUCGUGCCAGCAGCCGCGGUAAUACGAAGGGUGCAAGCGUUACUCGGAAUUACUGGGCGUAAAGCGUGCGUAGGUGGUUGUUUAAGUCGGAUGUGAAAGCCCUGGGCUCAACCUGGGAAUGGCAUUGGAAACUGGGCAGCUAGAGUGCGGUAGAGGGUAGUGGAAUUCCCGGUGUAGCAGUGAAAUGCGUAGAGAUCGGGAGGAACAUCUGUGGCGAAGGCGACUGCCUGGACCAGCACUGACACUGAGGCACGAAAGCGUGGGGAGCAAACA